RNAcentral lists this transfer RNA (76 nucleotides) under Thermotogota bacterium ADurb.Bin062. Its description in RNAcentral is "Thermotogae bacterium ADurb.Bin062 tRNA-Gly". It matches the Rfam family "tRNA". Rfam says of the family: Transfer RNA (tRNA) molecules are approximately 80 nucleotides in length. Their secondary structure includes four short double-helical elements and three loops (D, anti-codon, and T loops). Lineage: Bacteria; Thermotogati; Thermotogota. RNAcentral also lists the same sequence under 2 other names. The record is from RNAcentral.
GCGGCUGUAGCUCAAUUGGUAGAGCAUUACCCUUCCAAGGUAAGGGUUGCGAGUUCGAGUCUCGUCGGCCGCUCCA